CGAGAGAAGUCCGUCUGAAAUUUGUUUGAUGUAGAAGUUUGUCUGAAGACUGUCCGCUGGAGAGGUCCGGUUGCAUGAGGAAUCCGACUGAAGGAUGAUCGAUAGAAGAGUCCGGAAGGCAUUGUGGAAGUUCAUCCACUGGAGGAGUCUAGAGGACACUGUGGAAGGUCGACUGCUGGAGGAGUCUGGAGGAAAUUUAUCCGUUGGAGGGGUCUGGUUAGCACUGUUGAAGUCCGAUUGGUACUAUUGAAGGUUGAUGACUGGAGAGAUAUGGAAGACACCGAAGACAGUCGGUCAUUGUAAAAAUCCGACUGCUGGAGCCCAUUCAUUGUAGAAAUUCAUCUGAAAUCCAUAUGUUGUAGAAGUUCGGACGGAGUCCGAUUCUUGCAGAAGUUCAAAAGGAGGUCGCUUACUGUAGAAGCUCGGAUGGAGACCGCUUAUUGUAGAAGUUCGGAUGAAAUUCACUUACAGUAGAAGCUCGGAUGGAGAUCGAUUGCCGUGGAAGCCCGGAUGGAGAUCACUUGUCGUGGAAGUUCGGACGGAAUUCACUUACAGUAGAAGCUCGGAUGGAGAUCGAUUAUCGUGGAAGCUCGGAUAGAGACCGCUUGUCGUGGAAGCCC
Molecule: long non-coding RNA, 620 nt
Filed under: Elaeis guineensis (African oil palm)
Lineage: Eukaryota; Viridiplantae; Streptophyta; Magnoliopsida; Arecales; Arecaceae
Description: long non-coding RNA (EGUI_LNC053027)
Source: RNAcentral